UCAUUGAAAGCUCACUGGCUCCUCAAGUUCACUGACUCGAAAGCAAGAAAGGUAGGUCGAAUAAAUUCCCACUUCAUUUUUGAUCGGCACUUGACUACUAUGAAUGAGAAGGGGCACAACCCUUAGCACAAGGGGCAAAUCAUGCCCUUCGAAAAGAAACCUUGUUUAGUAUGUUGGUCUCUUUCAUGAUCUGUGUAGUCCGAUUCUUCUUCUUCGGAUUCUCCCAACAAGGGCUAUAUAUAGUCUUCCUUGGAAAUCUUAGUAGUGAGGCGAAAUUCCCCUUCUUCAAGUCAGCUUCAAGCCAAUCGAGAUCACGCUUCUUCUCGUGGACCGGCAGACAAGGAAAGACCGAUGUAAGAUGGCAGUCAGACUGAGGAGGAGUCGGUCAAGUAGUACGAAAGAAGGGAUUUCGUCUAUUGUCCAUUAGUAAUACUCGUCAAAAUGGAAAUCCAAAUAGCAUUCUUACCAUUAACAUCCAUAGGAGUAAAUGAUUCAUCCCAAUCCGGAUGUUCAGGAAGGGCAUUGUCGACUAAAGAGAUGGUUCUGUCAAAAGACUCUUAUAGCUAUUGUAGAUUUACGAAUUGACGGAAUGGUGCUUUGUUCACACCUAUGUUGAUCUACCGCUGCUUUACACGUCCCUGGAUAGGCACAUUUUACCGGAAAGAGAUAGACGGGCAGAAGAUCAAUGAAAAAAGACUAGCUAGCGUGAGCGGGGGGAGUCUACGACAACCAAUACUUAUCCAAUGAAAUUGCCAAUUGCAGCAGACUUUGACUUCGCAAUUGAAGUGAAGACCUCAGGUCUAGGGGGCCCAAUCAUUGCAUUUGAAAGCAGCGCUAGAAAGCCUAUAAGAGCUGUAAACUCGUUAUAUAGGCACGUAAACGUAAAGAAGGGCUGAACCCCUUACAUGCUUACGUCGAAACCUAACCCUCUGGGACUAUCUUACUUACAAACCAUAGCCUUUCAAAACCAGACAACUGGACGUUCAUUGGUGAUGUCGAUUCCUGCUUGCUAACUGCUUUUCUCGAAGACUAGCUAGGGCAAAACUGGAUCUAAUAGGUUAUUGACUUUUGAAGACUAACAACGGGUACUAACCUUUCCGGGAAAAUCAAGUACGGGUGUCAAAAUCAAUGUGGUGGGAUAGCUUUUCCUUCUAUGUCCGCUAGGUUCUUCCCUUUAGGACUGGCUUUCUUAACUCAUCUAACAGGAUUUGAAGCUUGAGAAGAGAGGGAUGAAAGAACGAGACUUGACUCUAAUCAAUAGGCGAGAGAGGCAUUCUAUUUCUAUUAGGGCUGGCAGGAGAGAAAAUCACUUGAAAACUCGUAGAGCUUAAGAGCUUAUUGGCUUGUCCUAGAACUGGCUAUCCAAGACAACAACUGCAACUUUCGCGCCAACUGGAUUACUUGAAACUCCUUCAAAAAUGGCUUAACACGCUAUCAAAAGGAAAUUGGAAAAGGCGAAGGGCUUAGCAAUAGGAGCAACUGGCCCGCCAUCGAAUAAGAAUAAUCAAUAUGCUGCUAAUAGAUUGGGUGGGGUCAUAUUACAUAGGGAAAGGGGAAGAAAUCAAUAUAUCCCUUUCAUAGGGAUAGGCCCUAUGGUAGUACUGCUUUCACUCCAAGCUAUAUAUGCCUAAAAUAACAGACGUAUUCUGCCUUAUUCACGCUCUAUCUAGAAAAGCCCAACCCUAGAACCCAUUUUCUUUUGAAUUAGAACCAGCUAUCCAUGCAACCCAUUCCCGACUAUAGAAGGCAUGUCCCCCCUCCCUAAAUCCAUCUAUUAUACCUAUUAGGGUAUUAGC
Molecule: long non-coding RNA, 1796 nt
Filed under: Elaeis guineensis (African oil palm)
Lineage: Eukaryota; Viridiplantae; Streptophyta; Magnoliopsida; Arecales; Arecaceae
Description: long non-coding RNA (EGUI_LNC069263)
Source: RNAcentral